GCAGCAGAGCCGAUGCACCGCGAACCAAGAGCCGCGGCAGGGCUCUCGCUGUCCGGAGCGGGGAGCGGAGGCACCGCUGGCUGCCGGCGGGGGCGGCCGCAGCCGCGCUCCCGUCAGACGGGCUCCCUCGGCCCCGGGCUCCCCCAGCCCAGACCGACCGCGGGCUCCGGGGCGCACAGCCCCGCCACCUGCCGCUGCCCGCCAGCGCGCGUCGCUCCGCGCUCCCCGCGUCCCCGCCCGGCCGAGGCUGCACUCGGCGGAGCGGGCGCCCGCCGCCCGUCCCCAGCGCCAAGGCUGGCGGGGAGCGCGGCCGCACCGCCGCCGCCCGCCCGCGGACCCGAGUUUCCUCGCUGACGCCCCGCCCGAGCCGCCGAGCGCCGACCCAGGGGGCGGCCCCCGCCCCGCGGAGCGCACCGGGCUAGGGGAGCGGCGGGCCGGCGGCGCCCCGCGCGGGCGUUGGGCCGCGGCGGGCGGGAGCGCAGUCUUACCGUCGGCCAGGAGGCGCAUGGCGUGAACAAAGGAGGGAUCCAGGCUGUCCUUCUCUGCCAUCAGCUCGGGCAGGGCUUGUUGGUUGGGCUGGUUGGUUUUUGGCAGAGGAUGAAGGAAUGAAAAAAAGAUCUUGUCUUCAAGAUGGGAAAGAGGAUUUUGGAAGUGGAUCUAAUAUUUUGGAAUGUUUUGGAAUGCCAUGAAAAGUUGAAAAAUAACAAAUCCACCUGAGCCCAAGAGCAGAUUUCAGAAGAACCUGACCUGCUUUUCUUGUACGCAUAUUUGCAAGUUGGUUGAUAAUCAACUGAUUCUAGAAGAACUCAGUUCUCUAUCAGUUGGGGACAAUAUAAUCUAAUUUUGUUAAAUUCGAAUCACAAAAAUUAUUUGUAUAGUUUGAGUGAUAAUCUCUUGAGCUAAUAGCUUUUUCAUGAUGUUUGCUGAAAUGAAGAUGUUCUUACAAAUGUCAUUCCAACCACAUGGUCAGGCUUUGAAAAGUCAUAUACAAGUCACUUCUCAGAUUCAGAAGGUAAAAAAACUUACUUCAGAAUAAAGAUGCCUCUAUUUUUGCUGACACAGAAGAGGCGUUUAAACAUACUAGAAAUGUUUGCGGUGGAAUUUGCCAAGCACAUUUCAGUGCUGUCCUUUGGAGCAGCUAAUUUUUACACCCCUUGAUCCUUGUUGAAGUGUGUAUCACAGAGUAGUGCUAAAGAAAUGGUAACAGUGCAGAAUUACCACCAUACGUGAAUUUGUUACAUGGAUGUCACAGGCACUAUAGUAAGGAUGCUACCUCUGAAUUGCACUUUUGUCAUGACAAGCUGGCCUACACAUGUUGUUUCCAUGUGCGCUUACCACCUAUUCAAACAUUCACAUCUGCUUGAAAGACAGAUUCUUGGUUCGGAUUCACUUGGGCUAUGCCUUUAAAUGAGACAGUUUGAGUUGACAGCAAAUGAGCAGCCACAGCCAAAAAGUGCUGUAGUACUAUCUAGCUGCUGUAUGGAACAGCUCAGGAACAUGGUGUAACUGCAAUCAAGUGAUCUACAGUUGUGGAGGAGAACUGAAAGACUGAACCGAUGAUACCUUCCUUAGAACAACUGUGCAACAUGGUAAGUACAAAUAUGGAUUGUUAGACAAAUCUCCUGCAAGUGUCCUGUUGGAAUGAGCCUCUUCCAAAAAUACAUGUGCCACCAAUAUGCCACAGCAGUUGUGUAUCCAUAUCAAAUUCUUGGGCAUGGAAUGGGAAAAUAAGAGAAAAUAGCAAUAGCAGGUCAUUGAAAGAAACUACAAAAUAAAGUAUUCUAUGUAACAGAAGUCACUCUGUUCAAAAUUAAGUAUGAUUGUUUUGAGUUAAUUAUCUUAGACUAGCUUCCAAGUAAGCAGAUAAGCAUAUUAUGUUAUAUGGACUAUGCACUGCAGACUGUGAAUCCAAAAUCAAUCAUAAUCACUGAUGAAGACAGAGACUUCUUAGUGGUUUGUCCUGUGUUCAGCAAUUAUACAUUUUGACUGAUGUAUGAGAAAGUGCAGGCAUAGGCUGUGGAUUCACAAAACAUCCCGGUUCCCCAGUGCUGAGUGUAGAUCUAAUGCUAGCUCGUUUGUGUGCCUUUUUGGAAUGUAACAUUGCUAUUUCUGUCUCAACCAAGAAAAAGCUGAAGGUUAAAAACUGAUGAGAAGGGAGCACUGUUAUUACUGUGUGUUUUCUAUAUCAUGGAAGCUUUCAUUAGCCCUUAGAAAAUUGCAGGAAUACCCUCAUUUUCUAGAUGUCUCUAAAAGUCAGCUGAUACCAAUGUAUGAGCAGGUUAACUCUUCUAUGCCAAAUGACGAGAAACUGACUUCAACAAGUUUCUGCCAGGCAAAGUCUUUCUAUUUCAACAAAGAAUACAGAGGUGAUCUCUACAAUGUGAACCAUGCUUUAUCCAGUAUGGUAUGGAUUUGCAUCUUGUGACAUGGACAUUCCGUACAGGCCCGGAUCAACAGCAUCUAAAGCAUCUUGUCCAAAGCUGCAUCUGUAAGAUAGGUCAGAUCAAUUACUUCUUCUUAUGUAGUUUUCCAAUUAUAAUAAAAUCUUAGGUCCUACAUAACAUCAUUUAAUCAAGGGAAGAUAAUGAGCUGUUUGUUGACUGUACACUUGCACAAUGAAUAUAUAUUUUGAUUCUUAAUUCGUGUUAAAAAUCUUAUCAGCAGAUUUGCAAAUCUCGAGUGCUGGAACAUGAAAACCUAUGGGAGUUAUUAUUAUUAAGUACUUUAUUAUUAGUAGUAAUACUAUGUUAGCACUAUAGCUUAGCAAAGGUUAUAAUUUAUAAACAAAAUCUGCAUAAAUACUUUUAAAAAAGCAUCAUUGAAAUUUGUUACCUUACAUAGUAGCACUAGCUUAAAUAUCUAGCUUUUGAUUCACUGCUUACUGGUGUGAAAGAAAAGGUGUUACAAGAGAAAAUAAUGAGCAGCAUUGUCUCAGCAGAAAAGGGGAAGACCCGCAAUGCAUAUCUAAUUUUACUCCACUUGAAAAUUAAAGUUAAAUUAAUGAACUUUAAGAUCAGAAGGGAUCAGUAUGACUACUUUUUCUUUUUUUUAAAUGAGAAUGAAGUGAUGUAUUUGUGUUACACAUUUCCACUCAAGAGAUUUCUAAGAAAAGUAAUAGCCUUUUAUUCAUUUAUUAUUUACAGAUUUUUAAUUUCAAAUUAUGAUAACAUAGUGUUUCAUUGUACAAGGGCUAGUGGAACAAAAUUGGGAGGGGGGAAGAAAUUACAUAGAAGAUUGCUAGUGCUGUACUUUGCCAUUUACUUCCUUUUUAGUUUGAGCGGCCAAGACAUCCCUGUGAUUCAAAAGAAGGAAAAAAUAACUUGUAUUGUAAUCUCCCAAAAGCAGAAAAUACUACAUAUCCUCACGUAUGCACCAACACAUUUCCUGAAAACAUCAAGUCAACAUAGAAUGUGGGUGGAAAUUAGGGUUUUCUGUGUCUGCAAGUGAGGCAAUAAAAUGAGUUCAAGGAUUAUGACAGACCUGUAGUGAUUGAGCUAGAAAUUGGUCACUUGAAUAGACAUAUAAUGACAAGUUCAUGGAGUACUUACUAUCAGCCAUUGAUACGACAUAUUUGUUGUAGGAAGAGACAGUGCAGUAGCACAGAAAGAAAAUUACUUAUAAGGAAAGAGAGAUUUUAUCUCUCAACUUUUAACUUCUUGAAAGGCUUCAAAGCAUUCAGGCACAGGUAUUGAAAGCUUUAUUAUGUGGAAAAAUUGGAUUUUCUGAUUUUGAAAUUCAGUUAUGAUAUUUGUAAAGGUUUAGAAGCUAUUAAUCGAAGGUCAGUUUCUGUGCUGAGUAGGUUUUGUUGGCUCCACUGGAAAAAUACUGGAAACAUGUAGCUCUCUGGAAAUAUAAAAUGAAAUAACUCUGUAA
Molecule: long non-coding RNA, 3873 nt
Organism: Columba livia (rock pigeon)
Lineage: Eukaryota; Metazoa; Chordata; Aves; Columbiformes; Columbidae
Exons: 4
Source: RefSeq, a predicted model, not a curated record